RNAcentral lists this ribosomal RNA (253 nucleotides) under uncultured bacterium. RNAcentral describes it as "partial 16S ribosomal RNA". It matches the Rfam family "Bacterial small subunit ribosomal RNA", at positions 524 to 776 of the family's 1533-position model. The record is from RNAcentral.
UACGUAGGGUGCAAGCGUUGUCCGGAAUUAUUGGGCGUAAAGAGCUCGUAGGCGGUCUGUCGCGUCGGAUGUGAAAAUCCAGGGCUUAACCCUGGACCUGCAUUCGAUACCGGCAGACUAGAGUUCGGUAGGGGAGACUGGAAUUCCUGGUGUAGCGGUGAAAUGCGCAGAUAUCAAGCAGAACACCUGCGGCGAAGGCGGCCUUCUGGACGAUGACUGACGCUGAGACACGAAAGCGUGGGGAGCAAACAGG